This 46-nucleotide non-coding RNA is filed under the name Schistosoma margrebowiei. The record is from RNAcentral. Lineage: Eukaryota; Metazoa; Platyhelminthes; Trematoda; Strigeidida; Schistosomatidae.
GUACUGCUGAGGAGUCCCACAAUAGAACAAAACAACUGUCUAGUAU